UACGGGAGGCAGCAGUGAGGAAUAUUGGUCAAUGGGCGGAAGCCUGAACCAGCCAUUCCGCGUGAAGGAAGAAGGCGUUACGGGUCGUAAACUUCUUUUGUAAGGGGGUAACCGGGGGGACGUGUCCCCGCCUGCAAGUACCGGAAGAAUAAGGGUCGGCUAACUCCGUGCCAGCAGCCGCGGUAAUACGGAGGAUCCGAGCGUUUUCCGGAUUCAUUGGGUUUAAAGGGUGCGUAGGCGGCCCUGUAAGUCAGCGGUGAAAGGUUCCUGCUCCACCGGAAAGGUGCCGUUGAUACUGUUUGGCUAGAAUGUGAGGGAGGGGGGCGGAAUGCGGGGUGUAGCGGUGAAAUGCAUAGAUAUCGGGAAGAACGCCGGUUGGGGAGGCAGCUCGCCGGCUGAAUACUGACGCUGAGGCAAGAAAGCGUGGGGAUCGAACAGGAUUAGAUACCCUGGUAGUCCACCCAGUAAACGAUGAUGACUUGCUGUGGACGGCAACAAUUAAAGGCGAGCGAACGCACUCAGCGACCNCNGACUACCGA
RNAcentral lists this ribosomal RNA (539 nucleotides) under uncultured Bacteroidota bacterium. Its description in RNAcentral is "bacterial SSU rRNA". It matches the Rfam family "Bacterial small subunit ribosomal RNA", at positions 340 to 873 of the family's 1533-position model. Lineage: Bacteria; Pseudomonadati; Bacteroidota. The record is from RNAcentral.